CAGAGGGGGCAAGCGUUGUUCGGAAUUACUGGGCGUAAAGGGCGCGUAGGCGGCCUUCUAAGUCGAACGUGAAAUCCCCGGGCUCAACCCGGGAACUGCGUCCGAUACUGGAAGGCUUGAAUCCGGGAGAGGGAUGCGGAAUUCCAGGUGUAGCGGUGAAAUGCGUAGAUAUCUGGAGGAACACCGGUGGCGAAGGCGGCAUCCUGGACCGGCAUUGACGCUGAGGCGCGAAAGCUAGGGGAGCAAACGGGAUUAGAUACCCCGGUAGUCCUAGCCCUAAACGAUGAAUGCUUGGUGUGGCGGGUAUCGAUCCCUGCCGUGCCGAAGCUAACGCAUUAAGCAUUCCGCCUGGGGAGUACGGUCGCAAGGCUG
This 372-nucleotide ribosomal RNA is filed under the name uncultured organism. RNAcentral's name for it is "bacterial SSU rRNA". It matches the Rfam family "Bacterial small subunit ribosomal RNA", at positions 526 to 896 of the family's 1533-position model. The record is from RNAcentral.